This 468-nucleotide ribosomal RNA is filed under the name uncultured bacterium. Its description in RNAcentral is "partial 16S ribosomal RNA". It matches the Rfam family "Bacterial small subunit ribosomal RNA", at positions 28 to 507 of the family's 1533-position model. The record is from RNAcentral.
GACGAACGCUGGCGGCGUGCUUAACACAUGCAAGUCGAACGGAAAGGCCCUGCUUUUGUGGGGUGCUCGAGUGGCGAACGGGUGAGUAACACGUGAGUAACCUGCCCUUGACUUUGGGAUAACUUCAGGAAACUGGGGCUAAUACCGGAUAGGAGCUCCUGCUGCAUGGUGGGGGUUGGAAAGUUUCGGCGGUUGGGGAUGGACUCGCGGCUUAUCAGCUUGUUGGUGGGGUAGUGGCUUACCAAGGCUUUGACGGGUAGCCGGCCUGAGAGGGUGACCGGCCACCUUGGGCCUGAGGUACGGCCCAGACUCCUACGGGAGGCAGCAGUGGGGAAUAUUGCACAAUGGGCGGAAGCCUGAUGCAGCAGCGCCGCGUGCGGAAUGACGGCCUUCGGGUUGUAAACCGCUUUCGCCUGUGACGAAGCGUGAGUGACGGUAAUGGGUAAAGAAGCACCGGCUAACUACGUG